RNAcentral lists this small RNA (47 nucleotides) under Arabidopsis thaliana (thale cress). Its description in RNAcentral is "ATSL301660". Lineage: Eukaryota; Viridiplantae; Streptophyta; Magnoliopsida; Brassicales; Brassicaceae. The record is from RNAcentral.
AACCCAAAAUCCCAUCUUUUUCCUACAGUCUUCGCUCUGAUUAUCGU